RNAcentral lists this ribosomal RNA (433 nucleotides) under uncultured bacterium. RNAcentral's name for it is "bacterial SSU rRNA". It matches the Rfam family "Bacterial small subunit ribosomal RNA", at positions 335 to 761 of the family's 1533-position model. The record is from RNAcentral.
ACUCCUACGGGAGGCAGCAGUGGGGAAUAUUGCACAAUGGGCGCAAGCCUGAUGCAGCCAUGCCGCGUGUAUGAAGAAGGCCUUCGGGUUGUAAAGUACUUUCAGCAGUGAGGAAGGUGGGUAUGUUAAUAGCAUACUCAUUUGACGUUAGCUGCAGAAGAAGCACCGGCUAACUCCGUGCCAGCAGCCGCGGUAAUACGGAGGGUGCGAGCGUUAAUCGGAAUUACUGGGCGUAAAGCGCAUGCAGGUGGUUUGUUAAGUCAGAUGUGAAAGCCCGGGGCUCAACCUCGGAAUUGCAUUUGAAACUGGCAAACUAGAGUACUGUAGAGGGGGUAGAAUUUCAGGUGUAGCGGUGAAAUGCGUAGAGAUCUGAAGGAAUACCGGUGGCGAAGGCGGCCCCCUGGACAGAUACUGACACUCAGAUGCGAAAGCU